RNAcentral lists this ribosomal RNA (253 nucleotides) under uncultured bacterium. Its description in RNAcentral is "partial 16S ribosomal RNA". It matches the Rfam family "Bacterial small subunit ribosomal RNA", at positions 524 to 776 of the family's 1533-position model. The record is from RNAcentral.
UACGUAGGGUGCGAGCGUUGUCCGGAAUUAUUGGGCGUAAAGAGCUUGUAGGCGGUUUGUCGCGUCUGCCGUGAAAGCCCAGGGCUUAACCCUGGGUCUGCGGUGGGUACGGGCAGACUAGAGUGAUGUAGGGGAGACUGGAAUUCCUGGUGUAGCGGUGAAAUGCGCAGAUAUCAGGAGGAACACCGAUGGCGAAGGCAGGUCUCUGGGCAAUUCCUGACGCUGAGGCGCGAAAGCGUGGGGAGCAAACGGG